Hevea brasiliensis (rubber tree) is the source of this 859-nucleotide long non-coding RNA. RefSeq lists it as uncharacterized. NCBI's taxonomy places the organism in Eukaryota, Viridiplantae, Streptophyta, Magnoliopsida, Malpighiales, Euphorbiaceae. The transcript has 3 exons. The record is from RefSeq and is a predicted model, not a curated record.
UCCGAUCGAGGUGAUUCAGGUGGCGUUGGAAAGCUUGUUCCGAGAGCUUUCUUUUGAUACCAAUUUUGCAGCAAAUGGAGGUCGGAUGAGUGAGAUAUGGAGGAGAGAAGUUUCUGAUUUUUCAAGCUUUUUCGUCAGAUCUAGGACGAUCCGACCGUUGGAUCGACGAUCCGAGACCACAUAUGGACUGAGGAAGAGGGGAGGAACAUGAUGGUAUGAUCAGAUUCCGCAAAUGUCGCCGGCGACCGGCGGCCGGCUACCGUUCGCGGUGGUUCCGGCGGUGGCUCCGGUGGGCUAUGGAGAUGAUUCAACUUCCAGAGGCUUCCUCAUAAAUUUUUGGAAUUUUUGAGACACAUAUAAACUUCGGGUGAUCGAGAUCAGCUAUUUUUCUGCAUCCAGCAGCCACAAUAGUCAUCGGUGUACUGCCACAGGAGGAGUUAUUUUACAGAGCAACCUGUUUUCUUUCUCGCAGGUUUAACGUCGAUUAUUUAAUUGUUUUACUAUCUUUUCUAAAUUUAAAAUCUAGAACUCCGCAUGUGCUAGUAAUAGUGUGGACCUUGUUAGAAAUUGUGUUAAUUUAAAUUUUUAAGAUUAAUAAAUGAAGAUUUGUAUGGUAUUUAAACAGUUUGUAAAUGAGGUAAUAGGGUUGAGCUGGGCUCCCCUGAUUUUAGUUUCUGAAAAUUUCUGGGCUAAGUUGGCCCGAAAUGAAAUUAUAACAGUUUGAUUUAAAUUAUCUUAUAUGCAUAUUGGGCCUAAAUUGUGGGCCUGGUUAUGGAUUUGAGGAAUAGUUAGGCUUACUACGGGCCUCGGGGGCUUUAAGCUGGCCCAGGUCCUAGUGCCGGUCCGGCCCAUAGGUUGG